Molecule: ribosomal RNA, 468 nt
Filed under: uncultured bacterium
Lineage: Bacteria
Description: partial 16S ribosomal RNA
Rfam family: Bacterial small subunit ribosomal RNA
Source: RNAcentral
GACGAACGCUGGCGGCGUGCUUAACACAUGCAAGUCGAACGGAAAGGCCCUGCUUUUGUGGGGUGCUCGAGUGGCGAACGGGUGAGUAACACGUGAGUAACCUGCCCCUGACUUUGGGAUAACUUCAGGAAACUGGGGCUAAUACCGGAUAGGAGCUCCUGCUGCAUGGUGGGGGUUGGAAAGUUUCGGCGGUUGGGGAUGGACUCGCGGCUUAUCAGCUUGUUGGUGGGGUAGUGGCUUACCAAGGCUUUGACGGGUAGCCGGCCUGAGAGGGUGACCGGCCACAUUGGGACUGAGGUACGGCCCGGACGCCAACGGGAGGCAGCAGUGGGGAAUAUUGCACAAUGGGCGGAAGCCGGAUGCAGCAACGCCGCGUGCGGGAUGACGGCCUUCGGGUUGGAAACCGCUUUCGCCUGUGACGAAGCGUGAGUGACGGUAAUGGGUAAAGAAGCACCGGCUAACUACGUG